GACGAACGCUGGCGGCGUGCUUAACACAUGCAAGUCGAACGGAAAGGCCCUGCUUUUGUGGGGUGCUCGAGUGGCGAACGGGUGAGUAACACGUGAGUAACCUGCCCUUGACUUUGGGAUAACUUCAGGAAACUGGGGCUAAUACCGGAUAGGAGCUCCUGCUGCAUGGUGGGGGUUGGAAAGUUUCGGCGGUUGGGGAUGGACUCGCGGCUUAUCAGCUUGUUGGUGGGGUAGUGGCUUACCAAGGCUUUGACGGGUAGCCGGCCUGAGAGGGUGACCGGCCACAUUGGGACUGAGACACGGCCCAGACACCUACGGGAGGCAGCAGUGGGGAAUAUUGCACAAUGGGCGGAAGCCUGAUGCAGCAACGCCGCGUGCGGGAUGACGGCCUUCGGGUUGUAAACCGCUUUCGCCUGUGACGAAGCGUGAGUGACGGUAAUGGGUAAAGAAGCACCGGCUAACUACGUG
This 468-nucleotide ribosomal RNA is filed under the name uncultured bacterium. RNAcentral describes it as "partial 16S ribosomal RNA". It matches the Rfam family "Bacterial small subunit ribosomal RNA", at positions 28 to 507 of the family's 1533-position model. The record is from RNAcentral.